GGAAACCACAUCGUGGACUGGACCUUCAAGGCCCAGGCUGCAUCGGACCAGGAGCGAGUAUGCUGCACCUGACACACUAAAGCAGAUGACAAAAGACCGCUGCAUUCAUGAGGAGGACCCUGUCUGGAGUCACAGAAGUAUAACCUCAAGCACUCAUGUACAUCAAGAGAUUCACUCCUCUAGCACCUUGCAACUGGAUUCAAAACCAUUUCUAUACUGGUUUUACGAAUGGAACAUACUGCGCUAUAGAGCAUUGGAGUGACCCGUGCAAGUUCAUAGAUCUAGCAUCUCCAUCCCAUCCCUAGAAGCUUGAUGCCCUCAUGAUACCUACUGGAUUCUCACCCAGGGCUGCCUUGUCCCUGCUGCAAAAUUAGUCCUCUCGUUUCUUAUCAAGAUGGCCAACCUCCUAUCAAUAAUGCAGAUAUAAACAAACACUGUCAAUGUCAGAAAUUGAAAAGCUGAGCCCUGUUAGAGGAACUAGAAACUUCAUUACAGUCUGUGCCAUGCAUUUUUAAUCUUUUUUUUUUAUUUAUUGCCUACUGUGCUCACUCUUAAAUGUGUUUUGUUUAAUCUUUUCUAAUCAGUCUGUUAGAAACUUUAGGCAGGAGACAUAUGAUACAGUCUUCUGAAUCCUCCACAAAACUUGGUAUUUCAGUCAUAGGAGACUAGUCUGUUAAAAUUAAGUUGAGGGGCACCUGGGUGGCUCAGUCAGUUAAGAGUCCAACUUCGGAU
Molecule: long non-coding RNA, 732 nt
Organism: Hyaena hyaena (striped hyena)
Lineage: Eukaryota; Metazoa; Chordata; Mammalia; Carnivora; Hyaenidae
Exons: 3
Source: RefSeq, a predicted model, not a curated record